GCCCUUUUCAUCUACGCCUGGAUCGGCUAAGUGAGGCGUGUUCCUCACGGAACUAUGGCGAUAAACGCACAUGUAAUAAACGGACCGGACCCGGGGGCGGUACCCGGCGGCUCCACCAGGAUCAUGGGGCCGAAACAGUAUCGACGGACGCGUAAAGAUGCUUGCUUUCGCUCGGCGGACUGCCACCGUUAUCGGCGUAAACAGUACAAUUGCAAACGACAAUCGUGCUCCGGUUGCUCUCGCUGCUUGAUGCAGCGCGGUUAACCGAAAUCUUUAGACCAGGUCUCAGCAAGACCUGGCGGGGUCUGCAGGCACCUGGCAACAGAAGCCUGCACU
This 336-nucleotide transfer-messenger RNA is filed under the name Paracoccaceae bacterium. RNAcentral's name for it is "Rhodobacteraceae bacterium transfer-messenger RNA". It matches the Rfam family "Alphaproteobacteria transfer-messenger RNA". Rfam says of the family: Bacterial tmRNA, also known as 10Sa RNA or SsrA, is named for its dual tRNA and mRNA-like properties. Lineage: Bacteria; Pseudomonadati; Pseudomonadota; Alphaproteobacteria; Rhodobacterales; Paracoccaceae. The record is from RNAcentral.